This is a long non-coding RNA of Cotesia glomerata, 103 nucleotides long. RefSeq lists it as uncharacterized. NCBI's taxonomy places the organism in Eukaryota, Metazoa, Arthropoda, Insecta, Hymenoptera, Braconidae. The record is from RefSeq and is a predicted model, not a curated record. The transcript is spliced from 3 exons.
UUAUUUUUAGAAAUACUGGGCCAGGACUUUCGCAGUUGUUUGAAUGAGCAUUCAUAUGUUUAACCUGAAAUUUGAAUAAAUAAAAAACGCCAACUUCCUGGCC